AUGCCAUGAUGAGGGAAUUUUCUUAACAACUCUUUAAACCUCUCCCAUGCAUCAGGAACAGCUUCAUCGUUCAUUUGCUUAAGAAGACAUAUUUCAUUUCUAGACUU
Molecule: small nucleolar RNA, 107 nt
Organism: Cynara cardunculus var. scolymus (artichoke)
Lineage: Eukaryota; Viridiplantae; Streptophyta; Magnoliopsida; Asterales; Asteraceae
Source: RefSeq, a predicted model, not a curated record